Molecule: non-coding RNA, 2729 nt
Organism: Coturnix japonica (Japanese quail)
Lineage: Eukaryota; Metazoa; Chordata; Aves; Galliformes; Phasianidae
Source: RefSeq, a predicted model, not a curated record
CCAUGUGAUCAGCAAUAAGAAACCUAGGGGAGAGAAUUAAGGGCUUCUAUCAAAGGUCAGAAGCCAAGGAUCCUAUUUCCACUAUGAUCAGAACAAACGCACAGUGCUGAAGACCUGCCAGCCUCAAACAACACCCUCUUUCUUCGCAUUAGAAAUGGAAACACGUCCUCUGCAGGAAUUUUCCACUUAAUAGCUCCUGCUUUCCUACCGGGGGCCUCAGUGCACCACCACUGCAAUGCUGUAUUUCUUUCCACUGCAGUUUGACAUUUUGCAGCCAGAACAACGAGCGGCAUUCACUCCAUCCUGCUUUUUGAAAAGCCUAUCUCUACAGGCACACAGAAAGCAGCCGGUGCAGCCAUCACCACAGGGAAAUGGCAGAAGUAUUUAAGCAUCAUUACAGGUCACAAAGGAUAUGGCAUUGUUUCAGAAUACUGAUCUUUUAUACGGUCUCAUUUCCUUGCUCCUCCAUUCUUCCACCCCAGCCCUUUUUACAUAUACACACACACUAAAGUGUCUGCCCCACUCUCCUCUUACAAGCCAGGCUCUUGUUCUACACUUGAUUAUAGUUGUUUGCCUUUGUGAAUUAUUUCCUAUGCAUAACGUUUGCAAACUGUACAUCAGGUUCUGAUAUCGCGAUGAGCAGAAAUGCAGAUUGCAGAUGAUCUCCGCAGUAAACAAGGAGCCUGCUUUAAAAUGCGCCGAGUGACCUGUCAGAAAGCAGCAACAUUUGCAAAAUGUUUACUGCUAAGAUGCAAUGAUGUGGUCUGAAGUGCAGAAAGCUCAGGACUGGAGCAAAAUGGGAUCUCAGAGAGUCGGUCAAGCACAACAUAGAGUGUUUUCUUUUCAGUAUAAUUAUUAUUUUUAAAGCUUGAGCUUUAUUAUAAAUAACUAAAAUGUAAUUUUCCUUUGCUGUUUCUGUGAAAUAUUUGUAUAUUCCCUUACAGAAAGAUAAAUGUCUGGAGGUAAGCAUCAUUUAUAGCUGGAAGGAAGGUUUCCCCUGUCUGCGUAGUGGUAGAGUCUCAGACAGCAAGGUCCCAGUAGGUCAGACUGGCACAUUGAAUUGCGUAUCAAAUGAAACUGGUAUUCUGGAAAAAGGGUGGAAAGAGGAAGAGGGGUGUUAGUAAGGAGGUUGUCCAGGCCAGGAGGGUGGGCCAUAGAAAGAAAACAAGGAAAAAAAUAGGAUUGAUGAUUUGCAGGACACCUAGGGUAUUUCUUUCAGGGGGUAUUACUUCCACUUUUAACCAGGAACAAGAGCUGGUAGGAAAAAAAAAGCGGCAGGAGCUGACAGCUUUGUGCUGAUCAAAGGGAAGCAGCACUGAAUGCCUGCCUUUGCUAGCUAUUUAUUAGAAAGAGAGAAGGGCUCCUUUGCCAUUCUACUUGGGAGAGAAGGGAUUAAAGAUCAAAAAAGAAGGGAACUGACCUGACUUCUUUGUUCAGAAAAUAUUUCUCUUUUUUCCUUUUUUUUUUCUUUUCCUCCUGCAUGCCAUGCCGUCCACUAUAAGACAAAACCCCCCUUUCUUUUCAGCGUUGCCGCCUUUCUUUACUCAUUGAGCAAAAUUUCUGGUGAUGAACAUUUCCUGCAGCAUCUUUUUUUUUUUCUUUUUUCUUUUUUUUUAUGUUAAAGGAGGCCCCCUUUGAGAAAGCUUAGUUAACUGUCUUUUAGCCUGAUUAACCUAGGAAAUAAAGUUUGAAUGCACUGCUGGGAUUCUAUUAGGGUUGUCAGUUCACGUAGAUAACAGCAAAAGGUGUUAAAAUGCACUUCACUGGUGCAAGUGAUCUCAUGUUGUAAAAAUGAUUAUCCCCAGCAGAACAGGGAAGGAUUAAGGGGCCACAUCUACAUCUGGGAGACUCUGUAAGUGUUAUAUUAGCAUUAAUACACGCAUUGAUCACACGAACAAAAUAAGCACGUAAGGAUGGUAGCAAAUGGCACAGUGCAUUAAACCUGCUCUUAAGACAGUGAAAUGGGAGCGUCUCUAUUCCUAGAACUGCAACAAAGCUGUUAAGCAGUUCCAAUAAAAUUGGGGAGUGCCUACUUGUAUGAUUGUGGAUCGUUGUGGAUUACCUGCCAUGUAAAAACUGUUAUCGAAACAAGACUCCCUCAUUGCAGAGAUUCUGAAGAAUUGUGGGGUAAAUUUGGUAUACUAUCUCUAAACUGACUAAACUACAAACUUCCCCUGAAUUUCAUCUCAGUGGCUCAAAUGCUCACCUAUAUUCUCCAAACGUGUGUUACACAAACUAGAAGAGAACUGCUGCUUCUCACUGUGGAUAAGAGUGAGGCGGGAUGACUGUGCAAGCAAGGAUGAGGUAGACAGUUAAAAAAAUACAAACAGUGUUGACCAGACAUUUGAAUAACUCAGCAGUGAAGUGAAUAGAACAAAUAGAACACAUAGAAUAAACAGAACAGCUGGAAGGGAACUUCAAAGAUGAUCUAGUCCAACUGCCUGAUCACUUUAGUGCUAAGUUAAAGCACUGAGAGCAUUAAAAGUGGGUAUAAAGUAUCAAAGGCAUUGUACAGGAAGGCAUGGGGCAUCAACCACCUCUCUAGGAACCCUGUUCUAGAGUGUGACCACCUUCCCAGUAAAGAAAUACUUAGUAAUGUCCCCUGAACCUCCCUGGUGCAGCUCUGUGCCAUUCCCACACAUCCUAUUGAAUUCAGCUGAAUGCUAAAUUCUGUUUCAAGUUAAGAGCAACCUCAAGUAUUAAAAUCAUUAAAAUCAUAUGUAACUAGA